Molecule: long non-coding RNA, 220 nt
Filed under: Elaeis guineensis (African oil palm)
Lineage: Eukaryota; Viridiplantae; Streptophyta; Magnoliopsida; Arecales; Arecaceae
Description: long non-coding RNA (EGUI_LNC003162)
Source: RNAcentral
CUAAAGAGAGUAUAGGAUACUUCUUUUACCAUCCUACUGAAUAAAAGAUGUUUGUCAAUAAAUAUACCACUUUUAUGGAAAAAGAGUUUAUCCUAGAAAGAGACAGUGGGAAAAAAAUUAAAUUUGAAGAAGUUCAAGACCUACAAAUGUAAGCACAAGAUGAUCCUCAAUAAAAAAUAUCCAUUAAUAAAGUACAACCAUAAAAUACAUCUCCUCUCUG